GGAUUCCCCCAGUAACGGCGAGCGAAGCGGGAAGAGUUCGAGCAGUCAAUCUCUGGCGCUCGUCGCCAGCGAAUUGUGGCCGGUCGAGGCAACUGCACCCGAGGCGCCACCGCCCAAGUUGACCUGGAAAGGCACGUCGGAGAGGGUGAUAGCCCCGUGCGGGGCGGGGGUGCCGAGGGCCGCUACUGUCUUCCGAGAGUCGGGUUGUUUGAGAUUGCAGCCCAAAGUGGGUGGUAAACUCCAUCUAAAGCCAAAUACCGGCACGAGACCGAUAGCGAACAAGUACCGUGAGGGAAAGGUGAAAAGCACUUUGGAAAGAGAGUUAAAGAGACCGCGAAACCGUUAGGAGGGAAACGCAUGCAGCCGAACGGGCCCUCGUCGGGUUCAGGGGGCCGUGUCGGCGCUCUCCGACGUGCGCGGGCGACUCUUCGCGAGGUCGCCGUGUCGGCGCGAGCGCGACGCGCCUCCGCACUCCCGUCGGAACCGGGCCGGCCAAGUGCGGUGGCGCCCGGAGCGAGGAGGGCUGUCGGGCAGGUAGUGCAGCCGGUCGCCGAGACCGGAGGUGAACUUACAGCCGUCAGUCCGGCACGCGCCGGGUCCACCGAGGAGAGCGGUGGCUCAGUUUCCACCCCAGCAGCGCGGGCCUUCCCGUGAGUGGGCAGGCCGGAGCGCUCCCGUUCGUUCGGCCUCCGCGUCGAGGGACCGCUCGCGGUGUCCGUCGUCGGUGUGCGAGUCCGGACGGGAGGCGUCUCACGACCGGCGCUGCGGUCG
This 771-nucleotide ribosomal RNA is filed under the name Craniella wolfi. Its description in RNAcentral is "eukaryotic LSU rRNA". The stretch from base 1 to 293 matches the Rfam family "Eukaryotic large subunit ribosomal RNA", at positions 72 to 358 of the family's 3401-position model. The record is from RNAcentral. Lineage: Eukaryota; Metazoa; Porifera; Demospongiae; Tetractinellida; Tetillidae.